GGGGGCGCGCCGGUUUCGACGGGGACGUUGAAGCCAUGGCUGCAGGCCGAGGCGCCGCUGGCCUCGUUAAAAGCGGCAACAAAAGUAAUUGCCAACAACGAUUACGCUUACGCAAUGGCUGCCUAAGUGCGGCCACCCCGAUACGGCGGACAUCCGAUAAACCGUAAAGGGGACGCUCAUCGGGUCGCGUCCAUUCUUGGUCUCAUGGGGAUGGGCGUGUACAUCAUGGGACAAAACGUCCGGUGCCCGUUCGGGGGCUAACCGGAACGUACCGUACCCGAAACAAGCCUGUAGAUGCCUUGUGCCGAACAUUCUCGGACGGGGGUUCGAUUCCCCCCGCCUCCACCA
RNAcentral lists this transfer-messenger RNA (348 nucleotides) under Mailhella sp. It matches the Rfam family "transfer-messenger RNA". From Rfam's summary of the family: Bacterial tmRNA, also known as 10Sa RNA or SsrA, is named for its dual tRNA and mRNA-like properties. Its role is to liberate the mRNA from a stalled ribosome. Lineage: Bacteria; Pseudomonadati; Thermodesulfobacteriota; Desulfovibrionia; Desulfovibrionales; Desulfovibrionaceae. The record is from RNAcentral.